This 253-nucleotide ribosomal RNA is filed under the name uncultured bacterium. Its description in RNAcentral is "partial 16S ribosomal RNA". It matches the Rfam family "Bacterial small subunit ribosomal RNA", at positions 524 to 776 of the family's 1533-position model. The record is from RNAcentral.
UACGGAGGGUGCUAGCGUUAUUCGGAUUUACUGGGCGUAAAGCGCAUGUAGGCGGAACGGAAAGUUAGGAGUGAAAUCCCGGGGCUUAACCUCGGAACUGCUUCUAAAACUAUCGUUCUUGAGUAAGGUAGGGGACAUCGGAAUUUCUAGUGUAGAGGUGAAAUUCGUAGAUACUAGAAGGAACACCGGAGGCGAAAGCGGAUGUCUAGGCCUUUACUGACGCUGAGAUGCGAAAGCGUGGGGAGCAAACAGG